Molecule: ribosomal RNA, 19 nt
Filed under: Coenonympha oedippus
Lineage: Eukaryota; Metazoa; Arthropoda; Insecta; Lepidoptera; Nymphalidae
Description: 12S ribosomal RNA
Source: RNAcentral
AAAGUGUUUCUAGAGAGAA